Molecule: ribosomal RNA, 406 nt
Filed under: uncultured bacterium
Lineage: Bacteria
Description: partial 16S ribosomal RNA
Rfam family: Bacterial small subunit ribosomal RNA
Source: RNAcentral
AUUGAACGCUGGCGGCAGGCCUAACACAUGCAAGUCGAGCGAGCGGCGUACGGGUGAGUAAUGUCUGGGAAACCGCCCGAUUGAGGGGGAUAACUACUGGAAACGGUAGCUAAUACCGCAUAUUAUCAGAUUUGCCCAGAUGGGAUUAGCUAGUUGGGGGGUUAACGGCCGACAUCGGCGACGAUCCCUAGCUGGUUUGCGAGGAUGACCAGCGACACUGUAACGGGGACACGGUCAUGACUCCUCAGGGAGGCAGCGGUGGGGAAUAUUGGACAAUGGUGGCAAGCGUGACGAAGUGAGGCCGCGUGUGGGAAGAAGGCCUUCGGGUUGUAAAGCACGUUCAGCGGGGAGGCGUUACCCGCAGAAGAAGCACCGGCUAACUACGUGCCAGCAGCCGCGGUAAUUC